This 329-nucleotide ribosomal RNA is filed under the name uncultured eukaryote. Its description in RNAcentral is "partial 18S ribosomal RNA". It matches the Rfam family "Eukaryotic small subunit ribosomal RNA", at positions 1470 to 1796 of the family's 1831-position model. The record is from RNAcentral.
CCCUUAGAUGUCCUGGGCCGCACGCGCGCUACACUGAGUGUCUGAGAUACGAGUCUGCCUGGUCCGGCAAGGUCUAGGUAAUCGCUAAAAGACACAUCAUGCUUGGGAUAGAUUAUUGCAAAUAUUAAUCUUGAACGAGGAAUUCCUAGUAAGCGCAAGUCAACAGCUUGCGUUGAUUACGUCCCUGCCCUUUGUACACACCGCCCGUCGCUACUACUGAUUGGAUGUUUAAGCGAGGUUCUCGAACUGCUAGCGACUUAGCUUCGGUGAGGUCGCAGUGUGGGAAGUGAACCUAGCUUUGCUGUCUAGAGGAAGUAAAAGUCGUAACA